RNAcentral lists this transfer RNA (72 nucleotides) under Harpochytrium sp. JEL105. RNAcentral describes it as "tRNA-Lys". It matches the Rfam family "tRNA". Rfam says of the family: Transfer RNA (tRNA) molecules are approximately 80 nucleotides in length. Their secondary structure includes four short double-helical elements and three loops (D, anti-codon, and T loops). Lineage: Eukaryota; Fungi; Monoblepharomycota; Monoblepharidomycetes; Monoblepharidales; Harpochytriaceae. The record is from RNAcentral.
AUAGGUAUAGCUUAAUGGUUAAAGCUGCGGGCUUUUAAUUCGUCGAUCUAGGUUCGAUUCCUGGUACCCCUA